UAUUAAAUCUUUGUUAGAAGAUACAAAGACAAAGACUCAUACGAACUUAUAAUAGGUUUUUAGUCAAUUAUCCUAAAACACCAAUCAUGUCGUUGUAGUAUUUUAGGUGUCAAUCCAAAUGAGUGUGAUGCAAACAGAUGAGAUGUGAUCAGAAGUCACUAAGUCAAGCCAAGCAAUAACAGUUUUGGGGUUUUUAAAAGUCCUAAGUGAACAUGUAGAAAACAGAAACAAUAACAGAAUUACUAAAAUCACUCGACAACAACAGGCUGAUGCCAGAAGUAGGAUGUGGUCGAGUAACAGGCAGGAUAUGAAACAGAUAUACUCGACAGCACAGUCUGUUGCCAGACACUGGGUGUGGUCGAGUAUACUGGUCGAGUAACAGACAGGAAAUGAGACAACUGUACUCGACUGCACAGUCUGUUGCCAGACACUGGGUGUGGUCGAGUAAGUUGGUCGAGUAAGUUGGUCGAGUAAUUGCAAAAACUAAGAAACAGGCAAUGAGAACGAUUAAGCGAUAACGAUAAAACAGAGAAAUCAGAUAGACGAGAAAUUCCUAAGGAUGGGGUAAUCA
This 571-nucleotide small RNA is filed under the name Arabidopsis thaliana (thale cress). RNAcentral describes it as "ATSL271630". The record is from RNAcentral. Lineage: Eukaryota; Viridiplantae; Streptophyta; Magnoliopsida; Brassicales; Brassicaceae.